AGCGAACGCUGGCGGUAGGCCUAACACAUGCCAGUCGAACGGCAGCACAGUAAGCGCUUGCUCUUACGGGUGGCGAGUGGCGGACGGGUGAGGAAUACAUCGGAAUCUACUUUUUCGUGGGGGAUAACGUAGGGAAACUUACGCUAAUACCGCAUACGACCUACGGGUGAAAGCAGGGGAUCUUCGGACCUUGCGCGAUUGAAUGAGCCGAUGUCGGAUUAGCUAGUUGGCGGGGUAAAGGCCCACCAAGGCUACGAUCGGUAGCUGGUCUGAGAGGAUGAUCAGCCACACUGUAACUGAGACACGGUCCAGACUCCUACGGGAGGCAGCAGUGGGGAAUAUUGGACGAUGGGCCAAAGCCUGAUCCUGCCAAACCGCGUGGGUGAAGAAGGCCUUCGGGUUGGAAAGUCCUUUUGUUGAGAAAGAAAAGCAGCAGGUUAAUACCCCGCUGUUCUGACGGUACCCAAAGAAUAAGCACCGGCUAACUUCGUG
This 492-nucleotide ribosomal RNA is filed under the name uncultured bacterium. RNAcentral's name for it is "partial 16S ribosomal RNA". It matches the Rfam family "Bacterial small subunit ribosomal RNA", at positions 29 to 507 of the family's 1533-position model. The record is from RNAcentral.